UACAGAGGGUGCAAGCGUUAAUCGGAAUUACUGGGCGUAAAGCGCACGUAGGUGGUUUGGCAAGUUGGAUGUGAAAGCCCUGGGCUCAACCUGGGAACUGCAUUCAAUACUACCAAGCUAGAGUAGAGUAGAGGGAAGUGGAAUUUCCGGUGUAGCGGUGAAAUGCGUAGAUAUCGGAAGGAACACCAGUGGCGAAGGCGGCUUCCUGGACUCAUACUGACACUGAGGUGCGAAAGCGUGGGGAGCAAACAGG
This 253-nucleotide ribosomal RNA is filed under the name uncultured bacterium. RNAcentral describes it as "partial 16S ribosomal RNA". It matches the Rfam family "Bacterial small subunit ribosomal RNA", at positions 524 to 776 of the family's 1533-position model. The record is from RNAcentral.